Lentinula aciculospora is the source of this 93-nucleotide non-coding RNA. The record is from the annotation of a GenBank genome assembly. NCBI's taxonomy places the organism in Eukaryota, Fungi, Basidiomycota, Agaricomycetes, Agaricales, Omphalotaceae.
UCCAAUGUGGUGUGGUGGUCAACAUUACCGUCUUUCAUUUAUGAGAAGGACUUUCAUACACAGCAGCCCGGGGUUCGAUUCCCCGACCUGGAA